Molecule: ribosomal RNA, 455 nt
Filed under: Peptostreptococcus stomatis
Lineage: Bacteria; Bacillati; Bacillota; Clostridia; Peptostreptococcales; Peptostreptococcaceae
Description: bacterial SSU rRNA
Rfam family: Bacterial small subunit ribosomal RNA
Source: RNAcentral
GAUGAACGCUGGCGGCGUGCCUAACACAUGCAAGUCGAGCGAGGGUUUGCUCAGUAUUGAGUAUUCUAAGACUAGAAUGUUCAAUUCUGAGCAAAACCAAGCGGCGGACGGGUGAGUAACGCGUGGGUAACCUGCCCUAUACACAUGGAUAACAUACUGAAAAGUUUACUAAUACAUGAUAAUAUAUAUUUGCGGCAUCGUAGAUAUAUCAAAGUGUUAGCGGUAUAGGAUGGACCCGCGUCUGAUUAGCUAGUUGGUGAGAUAACUGCCCACCAAGGCGACGAUCAGUAGCCGACCUGAGAGGGUGAUCGGCCACAUUGGAACUGAGACACGGUCCAAACUCCUACGGGAGGCAGCAGUGGGGAAUAUUGCACAAUGGGCGAAAGCCUGAUGCAGCAACGCCGCGUGAACGAUGAAGGUCUUCGGAUCGUAAAGUUCUGUUGCAGGGGAAGAUA